RNAcentral lists this ribosomal RNA (1668 nucleotides) under Triticum aestivum (bread wheat). RNAcentral describes it as "partial small subunit ribosomal RNA". Lineage: Eukaryota; Viridiplantae; Streptophyta; Magnoliopsida; Poales; Poaceae. The record is from RNAcentral.
AUGGCGCAGUGGAACGGCAUGGAGCAGGCAGCGACCAUCGCGCAGCUGGUGGGAGUGGAUGCGUUGGGGCUCAUCUCGACGAUUGUACAGGCAGCACAGACAGUUCAGCGCAACAAGGAGACCUGCCAGGAGCUUGUGCAGGAUGUGCAGUUGAUAAAUGGCCUGCUACGGAUGCUGCAAAACCCAGAGAUGAUGCAGCGAGAAGAGAUUGUAAACGCACUCAAUGGACUGGAGGGGACGCUCCGGGAGGCGUACAGCCUCGUCAGCUCCUGCCAGGACUGCAGCACCACAUAUCGCAUAUUCAUGGGAUGGAAACACACUGACCAGUUCCGACGUGUGAAGAAGAAGAUUGCCAAGCACCUCCGCUUCUACCCUAUGAUCUUCCAUGCUGACAUAACUUGUCGUCUCGAAAGAAUAAGCAAUGGCACGCUGUCGACGUGCUCAUCUCAGGACCAAGGAGGAGUGCUGACAUCAUCUACCAGCCACUCAAACUCUGAAGCUCGGACUGAAUGUAGUUUAUGGCCUGUUGAAUUAGAAAGAUCGCAGACAUGCAGGAGCGCUGAGUCCAUUGCAGUUGAGGAACACCAGCUAACAAGUCACCAGGAAAUUGCUGAACCUUUUGCCAGGAAGCAGAGGUUCCGGUGGGGUCACUGUUUGCCCUGGAAAAUGGUAGAAACAGCUCCUUGUAUUCAUGAACUCAACGGACCAGGGUUUUCAGGUUUCCAUUUCUCCCAAUUAUUGGCUGCUACAAAUAAUUUUGCAUUCCGAUGCAAAAUUAGAAGUUGUGGAUAUGCUGAUGUGUAUAAGGGACGAUUGGACAGUGGACUUGAAGUCAUGAUCAAAAGAUUUUAUCAAAAUAACUCCCAUUCUUCACUCACAUUUGAAAAUGAAGUCCGCUUUCAUGCAAAGCUUCUACACAAAAACGUUGCUAAGCUCAUUGGAUGUUGCAGUGAAAGAGGAGAAGCACUUUUAGUCUAUGAAUCUCUGCCAAAUGGGUGUUUGUCUGACGCGGUAACUGGAACAAGGGUGUUGCUCAACUGGUCUGAGCGCUUCAAAAUAAUUUUAGGGAUAGCCCGUGGGGUGGCCUAUCUACAUGAUUGCUGUGGGAUACAAAUUAUGCAUGGGGAUUUAAAUCCACAAAGGAUUCUCUUAGAUUCUUAUAUGACUCCUAAGAUUACUGAUUUUGCUUUUGCAAAAGUGUGUAGUCCGGAUGGGCGUGAAAGACACAAGCGUAGUUUACUCGGUACAAGGGGUUAUAUGGAUCCUGGAUAUGUUAUUAACCGUAUUUACUCAGUGAAGAGUGACGUGUAUAGCUUUGGUAUCACUCUUCUUGAGAUAAUUACUGCAAAGAGGCCCGAUGCACUUUUCAAGGAUGCAGGUGAUCUUCUCAGAUUGCCGACAAUGGCAGAAUCAAUGGAGAUGUACCACAUGAUAGAUCCAGCAUUGCAUGGUGAAUCAAGAAUGACCGAGAUAAUGAAAUGCAUUCAGAUCGCAUUAUGGUGCUCCAGGCCCAAUGCGGGAGACCGGCCCAGCAUGUGGGAUGUUCUUCUGAUGCUCAGCUGCGAGAAUGCAACCUUACGUGUGCCGGAGCCAUUCCAGAGCCAGUGUGACACACAGGAGCUGUGUGAAGGGGUGCUAUCGGAUUCAGAGAUAACUGAACCAAGAUAG